Molecule: ribosomal RNA, 591 nt
Filed under: uncultured Escherichia sp.
Lineage: Bacteria; Pseudomonadati; Pseudomonadota; Gammaproteobacteria; Enterobacterales; Enterobacteriaceae
Description: bacterial SSU rRNA
Rfam family: Bacterial small subunit ribosomal RNA
Source: RNAcentral
CGGCAGGCCUAACACAUGCAAGUCGAACGGUAACAGGAAGAAGCUUGCUUCUUUGCUGACGAGUGGCGGACGGGUGAGUAAUGUCUGGGAAACUGCCUGAUGGAGGGGGAUAACUACUGGAAACGGUAGCUAAUACCGCAUAACGUCGCAAGACCAAAGAGGGGGACCUUCGGGCCUCUUGCCAUCGGAUGUGCCCAGAUGGGAUUAGCUAGUAGGUGGGGUAACGGCUCACCUAGGCGACGAUCCCUAGCUGGUCUGAGAGGAUGACCAGCCACACUGGAACUGAGACACGGUCCAGACUCCUACGGGAGGCAGCAGUGGGGAAUAUUGCACAAUGGGCGCAAGCCUGAUGCAGCCAUGCCGCGUGUAUGAAGAAGGCCUUCGGGUUGUAAACUUCUUUUGUCGGGGACGAAACAAAUGACGGUACCUGACGAAUAAGCCACGGCUAACUACGUGCCAGCAGCCGCGGUAAUACGUAGGUGGCAAGCGUUAUCCGGAUUUACUGGGUGUAAAGGGAGCGUAGACGGCAUGGCAAGCCAGAUGUGAAAGCCCGGGGCUCAACCCCGGGACUGCAUUUGGAACUGUCAGGCU